UUAUUUCUUGGAAUAUAAACUUUGGCUGCCGUUAUUCUUGUCUGCUUUCUCCACCUCGAGGCAAUGCGUUGAAGCUUUUCUUGCUGUGGAGACAAAAUACACGUGGAUAUCCACGCUCCUUUGUCUGAGAUAAACAUAAACUCUUAUAAUUCUUCAAUUAUAAAAUAGAAAGUAACGACAACAAAAAAAGAAUUUAAAAGAUCCAGAUGAGAGGAUCAUGAGAACAACUUGCAGCAUACUCUUCAAGAAAUCCACACAUACAAAUCGAUAAUAAUUCUGAUCUCCCUCCUUCGUUCAUCUCUUUGAAAAUGGAAUUCAUGAAAUGACAGGCGACAGAGGAGGGAAAAGAAUCACGAGUGAAGAUGGAGUCAAAAAAGACUAAUGGAAGAUAUGAAUCGCGGAGUGAGUCUUAUUCAGAAGGUUGAAGUGAAAGCUCACGGGUAGAGAAAGGAUGGCAACAAGAUGAUUGUAGUUUACUUGAAGCCCUCAAAUCAAUCACGCAGUUAGUUUCAAUUCAAUUUUUCCUGCUGGGUUUGAUGUUGAGAUUUGACUUGUUUUCCGUGAAAAGAGAGGCAGCGGCUGCGGUUAUGCCUACUUUUCACUAAUCUUGUAGGGACUAAAUUUAAAGUGAAUUUGAACCUUUUUUGUUUGAGCUUACAGAACUUGAAAAAGAACUGUUUUGGGUUGGAAAAUUGUUAAAAAAAAAAUGUUCUGCCAUGUGAGGCCUGUGGAGCUACAGAGGUAGCGGGCAUGCCUAACGCAGGCCAUGAAUACUAGGCGAAGAAAAGAGAGAACUUUACUCAUAAGAUUGAUUCUUUUAAAAGAUAAAUGUUUUUCUUUUUCAACCAUAAUGCUAUUUU
Molecule: long non-coding RNA, 860 nt
Filed under: Populus tremula
Lineage: Eukaryota; Viridiplantae; Streptophyta; Magnoliopsida; Malpighiales; Salicaceae
Description: long non-coding RNA (PTRE_LNC000405)
Source: RNAcentral